GACGAACGCUGGCGGCGUGCUUAACACAUGCAAGUCGAACGGAAAGGCCCUGCUUUUGUGGGGUGCUCGAGUGGCGAACGGGUGAGUAACACGUGAGUAACCUGCCCUUGACUUUGGGAUAACUUCAGGAAACUGGGGCUAAUACCGGAUAGGAGCUCCUGCUGCAUGGUGGGGGUUGGAAAGUUUCGGCGGUUGGGGAUGGACUCGCGGCUUAUCAGCUUGUUGGUGGGGUAGUGGCUUACCAAGGCUUUGACGGGUAGCCGGCCUGAGAGGGUGACCGGCAACAUUGGGCCUGGGAUACGGCCCAGACUCCUACGGGAGGCAGCAGUGGGGAAUAUUGCACAAUGGGCGGAAGCCGGAGGCAGCACCGCCGCGUGGGGGAUGACGGCCUUCGGGUGGUAAACCGCUUUCGCCUGUGACGAGGCGUGAGUGACGGUAAUGGGAAAAGAAGCACCGGCUAACUACGU
This 467-nucleotide ribosomal RNA is filed under the name uncultured bacterium. Its description in RNAcentral is "partial 16S ribosomal RNA". It matches the Rfam family "Bacterial small subunit ribosomal RNA", at positions 28 to 506 of the family's 1533-position model. The record is from RNAcentral.